UUCCCAAUUAACUUGUUUCUAGUAAAAGGCUAAAAAAGUCAGUGGAGUAAUAGCCUUAGCGAUGGAUCGGUUGAUUCGCGUAUCGAUGAAAAACGCAGCUAGCUGCGUUAUUUACCACGAAUUGCAGACGCUUAGAGUGGUGAAGUUUUGAACG
This 154-nucleotide ribosomal RNA is filed under the name Heterorhabditis noenieputensis. RNAcentral's name for it is "5.8S ribosomal RNA". The stretch from base 51 to 154 matches the Rfam family "5.8S ribosomal RNA", at positions 1 to 106 of the family's 154-position model. Rfam says of the family: 5.8S ribosomal RNA (5.8S rRNA) is a component of the large subunit of the eukaryotic ribosome. It is transcribed by RNA polymerase I as part of the 45S precursor that also contains 18S and 28S rRNA. Functionally, it is thought that 5.8S rRNA may be involved in ribosome translocation. The record is from RNAcentral. Lineage: Eukaryota; Metazoa; Nematoda; Chromadorea; Rhabditida; Heterorhabditidae.